RNAcentral lists this ribosomal RNA (429 nucleotides) under Gemmatimonadota bacterium. RNAcentral describes it as "Gemmatimonadetes bacterium partial 16S ribosomal RNA". It matches the Rfam family "Bacterial small subunit ribosomal RNA", at positions 355 to 776 of the family's 1533-position model. Lineage: Bacteria; Pseudomonadati; Gemmatimonadota. The record is from RNAcentral.
UAGGGAAUCUUCGGCAAUGGACGAAAGUCUGACCGAGCAACGCCGCGUGAGUGAAGAAGGUUUUCGGAUCGUAAAACUCUGUUGUUAGAGAAGAACAAGGACGUUAGUAACUGCACGUCCCCUGACGGUAUCUAACCAGAAAGCCACGGCUAACUACGUGCCAGCAGCCGCGGUAAUACGUAGGUGGCAAGCGUUGUCCGGAUUUAUUGGGCGUAAAGCGAGCGCGGGCGGUUUCUUAAGUCUGAUGUGAAAGCCCCCGGCUCAACCGGGGAGGGUCAUUGGAAACUGGGAGACUUGAGUGCAGAAGAGGAGAGUGGAAUUCCAUGUGUAGCGGUGAAAUGCGUAGAUAUAUGGAGGAACACCAGUGGCGAAGGCGGCUCUCUGGUCUGUAACUGACGCUGAGGCUCGAAAGCGUGGGGAGCAAACAGG